Molecule: long non-coding RNA, 803 nt
Filed under: Elaeis guineensis (African oil palm)
Lineage: Eukaryota; Viridiplantae; Streptophyta; Magnoliopsida; Arecales; Arecaceae
Description: long non-coding RNA (EGUI_LNC022637)
Source: RNAcentral
CUUUAAUAUGAAGGGUAAAGCCAUCAGCACACUAGUAUAAAAGAUGAUUGUGGAUAAGUAGUUAAAGCUUCUAAGUGCAGGAUAGAUGCUCGAGAAAAUAUCAUACCCCUGACAUAGAGCGGCCUCAUAAUUUUUUUUAAAAUUUUCUUCUUUUGCUUUGAUGAUUCGAUUGUUUUGUUUUUAAAUUUUGGCUGACUCGUAUGGAAGGAAGAAUGGGAUGAUUGUGGAUAACUAAAACUUCUAAGUGCGUGCCGUGUGGAUGCUUGGAAAAAUAGCAAAUGCAUGGCAUAAAGCAGUCUCGUAUUUGCCCUUCUUUUCAUUUUCCUUUUUCUCCAUUUGAUUGUUCUAUUUCCCAAAUGGCUACUGAAACUACAUUCAGCAAGUUACCGUCAACACGCAUGUGAAAGCAGUCCUGUUUUCUUUUUCCCCUUGGUCGAGGGAUGCCGUACGUGUUGACUCCACCGGACUAAAACUCCUAUCAAGCUGAUGCGAGAUUUUUUGGUUAGACCAGGUUUACCAAUGAGUAGGUGGAACAGUCCAAUCACGAAUAAACAUGUACAAACAUGUUUUUCCCCUUUCAUCUUUUUGUUUACCUUUAUACGUGUUAGCUUGUGGUCGAACCGGUCCGCCUCUAAGCUGAUGAACCUAGCCUAACAAAUAAUUUCUCCAAUCUGAUGGAGCUUUUAAUCCAAGAAAGCAAGACGCAAGGUUACGGAGAAAUUCAUUGCAUCAGAACAUCUGGCUAGCACCGGGGUUGUCCUUGGAUGCGUGAAAUGUCGAUCUCACGAUUGGUGGCAAAAUAG